This 91-nucleotide transfer RNA is filed under the name Leisingera aquaemixtae. Its description in RNAcentral is "tRNA-His". Lineage: Bacteria; Pseudomonadati; Pseudomonadota; Alphaproteobacteria; Rhodobacterales; Roseobacteraceae. The record is from RNAcentral.
GUCGCCUAUGGCGCGGACGCGAUGAGCGCCUAUGAAGCGCUGGAGAUCGCCACCCGUGGCGGCGCGGAUGUUCUGGGCCGCCCGGACUGCG